Molecule: ribosomal RNA, 433 nt
Filed under: uncultured bacterium
Lineage: Bacteria
Description: partial 16S ribosomal RNA
Rfam family: Bacterial small subunit ribosomal RNA
Source: RNAcentral
AACGAACGCUGGCGGCAUGCCUAACACAUGCAAGUCGAACGAGACCUUCGGGUCUAGUGGCGCACGGGUGCGUAACGCGUGGGAACCUGCCCUUAGGUUCGGAAUAACUCCCCGAAAGGGGGCUUAAUACCGGUUAAUGUUUUCGGACAAAAGAUUAAUCGCCUUUGGAUGGGCCCGCGUUGGAUUAGCUAGUUGGUAGGGUAAAAGCCUACCAAGGCGACGAUCCAUAGCUGGUCUGAGAGGAUGAUCAGCCACACUGGGACUGAGACACGGCCCAGACUCCUACGGGAGGCAGCAGUGGGGAAUAUUGAACAAUGGGCGAAAGCCUGAUCCAGCAAUGCCGCGUGAGUGAUGAAGGCCUUAGGGUUGUAAAGCUCUUUUACCCGGGAUGAUAAUGACAGUACCGGGAGAAUAAGCUCCGGCUAACUCCGUG